This 640-nucleotide long non-coding RNA is filed under the name Homo sapiens (human). Its description in RNAcentral is "HSALNT0223198". Lineage: Eukaryota; Metazoa; Chordata; Mammalia; Primates; Hominidae. The record is from RNAcentral.
UAGGGGAGGGAGGGAACAACAUCAGUGUGAUGGCUGAGUCACCGAUUCACAAUGGAGCAGGGGGAUGUAGGGCUGGGACCCAGGUCCACGGAGACACCAGCCCAAAGAGCCCAGGGAGGUCGGGCUUGGGUCAGCAGGAGGGGAGAGCAGAGUCUGCAGCAGGAAGCCCGAGGAGUCACCAGCCCAAAGUCACCCAGGGAUGACUGGUGAGGGUGGGGCCUGGGGCUGGGGGACCCAGGUCCUUGGAGAGGAUGAAAAUUAAGUGAAAUGUGACUUUGGAGCUUGGCUAGCAAAAGGAAAGGAAAGGAAAGCAAAGGAAAGGAAAGGAAAGGAAAAAAAGAAAAGAAAAAAGAAAGCGAGAAAGGAAAUCAAGUGAAAUGACAAACGACUUCCCACCCACCAGAACGCUCUCCACUCCCUUCCUAGACUUUCUUCAUAGAGCCAGAAGAGGGUACCUGAAUUGGCCUGGACUGCUCAGCCUGUACGGUUCUGGGAGUGGGGUGGGGUGGAUGGAGUGAACUCAGCAGGCACCCCCAGCUCUGCUCUCCUGUGGUGUGACUGGAUCUCCAGGAGGGACUUCGACUUUUCCAGGUCUUAGCACUGAAGAUGCUUUGGUGCUUCUGCACAGGGGAGAAAAUUC